AGAAGUAAAUAGCAAACCAGUCCGAAAGGCUGGGACGCAAAACCACGGAUCUAAGGUGAUUGAACUACGACCGCCGGGCUGCCAAU
RNAcentral lists this non-coding RNA (86 nucleotides) under Paenibacillus yonginensis. Its description in RNAcentral is "c-di-GMP sequence". It matches the Rfam family "c-di-GMP-I riboswitch aptamer". Rfam says of the family: GEMM was predicted in a large-scale screen for bacterial structured RNA regulatory elements. Genes associated with GEMM are involved in a diverse array of functions, including chemotaxis regulation, signal transduction, secretion and chitin. Lineage: Bacteria; Bacillati; Bacillota; Bacilli; Caryophanales; Paenibacillaceae. The record is from Rfam by way of RNAcentral.